Molecule: ribosomal RNA, 241 nt
Filed under: uncultured bacterium
Lineage: Bacteria
Description: partial 16S ribosomal RNA
Rfam family: Bacterial small subunit ribosomal RNA
Source: RNAcentral
GUCUGAUGUGAAUCCCGAGGCCCAACCUCGGAACUGCAUUGGAAACUGAUUUACUUGAGUGCGAUAGAGGCAAGUGGAACUCCAUGUGUAGCGGUGAAAUGCGUAGAUAUGUGGAAGAACACCAGUGGCGAAAGCGGCUUGCUAGAUCGUAACUGACGUUGAGGCUCGAAAGUAUGGGUAGCAAACGGGAUUAGAUACCCCGGUAGUCCAUACCGUAAACGAUGGGUGCUAGUUGUUAAGA